Molecule: unclassified non-coding RNA, 2359 nt
Filed under: Hevea brasiliensis (rubber tree)
Lineage: Eukaryota; Viridiplantae; Streptophyta; Magnoliopsida; Malpighiales; Euphorbiaceae
Source: RNAcentral
AAGAAUAUGGCCACUAUUGGGUGCGUCCUUGCCUCCAAACUGUUUGAUUGCUCAGAGAUACUAAAACGACAUUCUUGCUAGUUGCACUGGCCUUGAUCAGAAGCAAGAUGACAUCGCAGUCGUACCUAUAUAUUUGCUUGAUAAGAAGAAAGACAAACGGCACGACAUUUUAGGCAGCCGAGUAUUACUGCAAUCUGCGGAGGAAACGUCAGAAAUACUCUCCACCGAACGAGCAGGCGAAGACACAUCUAACUCCUACGAUUUCCACUUUCUCUUUCCCCAAUCUUCCUCUUCAUCUAGGUAUAGUUCCUCUAGUUCUAGUCCUUUUUUUUCUUGGCUUUUUACCUCUUUGCUACUUACUCAAAUUUCUUUCUGUAGUUUCGCUGAAAUCGUUGUUGUUUCAUUAUCAGAGGAUCAAUUCCAACUUAUAUCUUCAAUAUUCAACGCAAAUUUCCCAAUUUUCUUGUGUCUAAUUGUGAAAUUUCACAACUUUACUUUGCUCUCUUUGGCGUUUCUGCUUGGUUACGUGGAAAAUUGGGGGAAAAAUAAAAGAAGAAGAAUAUAAUUUCAUCAGUUUGUCCUUAGCCGAGAAAGAGAAAGUAAAAGUAGAGAGUCGUAAUGUUUGACGUUGAGGAUCCGGAUUUGAUUAGUGAUCUGCCUCAAAGCAUUAUUGAAGGCAUUCUUACCCGAUUACCCUUAAGAGAUGCUGUGAGAACGAGUAUCCUGUCCACCAAAUGGAGGUACCGAUGGGCUACUCUUACUCACCUUGUUUUCGAUGACAAAUGUGUUGCAUUGUAUAAUGAUAAAGGACUUCUUGAGAUCAACCUCAUCAAAUUUAUCACCGGAGUACUCUUUCUUCACCAGGGACCCAUUAACAAGUUCCAGCUUUCCGCUUCGUAUUUACAGUGUUGCCCUGAUAUUGAUCAGUGGAUACUUUUCCUUUCGCGGAGUGAUAUUAAAGAAUUGGUUCUUGAAUUAGGAGAAGGAGAGUGGUUUAGGGUCCCUUCAUGUCUUUUCAAUUGUAAGAUGUUAACCUGUUUGGAGUUAGCCCGUUGCGAAUUUGAUCCACUCCUGGUUUUAAGGGAUUCUUAUGCUUGAAGAGUCUCAAUCUUUAUAAAAUUUUGGUUGCUCCUGAGGCUAUUGAGAGUCUCAUUUCUGGUUGUCCUCUUCUUGAGAGUCUUUCAUUGUCAUAUUUUGACAGUUUAGUUCUAAACAUCCGUGCUCCAAAUCUAAAGUACUUGUGUUUGGAGGGUGAAUUCAAGGAUAUUUGCCUUGAAAAUACCCCACUUUUAGUUGCCAUGUCUGUUGCUAUUUAUAUCACUGAUGACGUUGCUGAACACUUUGAGCAAAGUUCAAGUUGCAAUUUUAUCAAGUUUCUUGGUGGUGUUCCUCGUCUUGAGAGGCUUAUUGGGCAUAUCUACUUCACAAAGGUAACAACAUGUUUUCAUGUUGGCUCAUGAAGUUGUUGUAGUUUUUCUUUGUGCCAAGGUUUUAACUGACGAACUACAAAGGACCUCAGUUGCAUAUAGUCAAAUUACAUGCUCAUGUAUAUCGCAUUUAAACCUUUUUCUUUUUGCAUAAUUUAAUUCUUUGUGGUUUGUAGUAUUUGAGUAUAGGUGAUUAUCCAGGAAGACUUCCAAUUACUUAUAGCUACCUGAAAACAAUCGAAUUAUAUCAAGUUAGCUUUGAAGAUAUGAAAGGGAUACUUCUUGUUCUCCGCUUGAUCGCAAACUCUCCUAAUCUGAAGGUACUUCAAAUUUCGGCAGUCACCUUGGAAAUGUUGCUAUCUUCUUGUUUUGUGAUUUUUGGUGAAGCAAAUAGCUUUCUUGUACACUGUAUCAUAUGUUUUUUUAUUAGAGAUUGAUGCAAACCCUUUUUUCAUCCUUGAUUGCCAUGUAGGGCUCCUCAAACGCUUUGGCUGCUAUAGAAGCACCUGAUUUGGAUUUUUGGAUCAAAGAGUGCCCCAAAGAUUGUACUUUUGAAAAACUUAAAAUUGUAAAGAUGACAGAAAUGUCUGGUGUGCCACAUGAGAUGGAAUUUAUCAAAUUUUUGCUUGGGAAUUCACCCGUGCUCGAGAUGAUGAGUAUUACACCUUGUGUAUAUGUAAUGGAUGGAAAACUGAAUAUGCUGAUUGAAUUGUUGAGGUUUCGUCGGGCAUCUGCUCAAGCAGAAAUUCUAUUCAUCCAAGAUUAAGAAUUGUGUAUUUCAUGUAAAGUUACUCCUGCCCUGCUGUUUUUCCUUUAUUCUUUGUGUGGAUAUAUGCUUCCAGUUGCAUUUUUUUCAUCAGAUGAUUGUGAAAUGAGAAGAACGUCAAUAAUGCUUACAAGAUUGCGGACAAAAAAAAUAAAUCAGAUCUUCU